Molecule: unclassified non-coding RNA, 404 nt
Filed under: Hevea brasiliensis (rubber tree)
Lineage: Eukaryota; Viridiplantae; Streptophyta; Magnoliopsida; Malpighiales; Euphorbiaceae
Source: RNAcentral
CUGGAACUUAUGGAAUUAUGCCAUACCGCUUGCCCCCUUUGCAGAAUCAACCUGCUUUUCAUAGUAUGAUUUCUCCUGUAAAUCAAGGAAAUGCAUUGCGUGGUGGAAUCAGACCUGAUCUUGGCCCCGGUAUGACCCCUAGAAAUUAUGCAAUGCCUCCUGCAAGCUAUGUUGGCUCUGCUUAUCCUGCGGUGCCAGGUAUUCAGUAUCCCAUGGCAUAUCCUGGAGGAAUGAUGAGUCACCAGCCUUUGAGUGGGUCGCCUAGUACGGUACCUGCUGCAAUUGCAAGCAGUAAUUCUGCAACAUUUUCAGGUGUCAGUUCAAAUUCUGGCAGUCAAUUAGAAGGUCCACCUGGUGCUAAUCUGUUUAUAUAUCACAUACCUCAAGAAUUUGGUGACCAAGAG